Long non-coding RNA from Xenopus tropicalis (tropical clawed frog), 312 nucleotides. RefSeq lists it as uncharacterized. NCBI's taxonomy places the organism in Eukaryota, Metazoa, Chordata, Amphibia, Anura, Pipidae. The record is from RefSeq and is a predicted model, not a curated record. The transcript has 3 exons.
UGUGUAUAUUGUUCUUUAGAAAAGAUGGCCAUUGGCUGGAUAAAGCAGACAUUGUACAGUUGAAGGAAGCCUACAAAUGGAUCAUCCAUCCUCUGCUAUCAACUGAACUGGGAAUUCAUGCAGACGGCAAGAGCUUGUUUGAAGUAGCCGUGGUGUUUACUCACCCAGAAACUGAUGGGGAUUGUCACUUCCUAAGGAAGUACAAAAAGCAAUAUAUGUUUGAAGGACACAACAGACCUGUUAGUCAGAUUACAGCAGAUGGGACCAGUACCACCAGAUUUGAUUCUGUGUGGCAUAGAUAUUCAAAGCCUC